AGCAUUGAUCUGCUACAUUUGCUAUCGUUAUGAUGUUAUUUCAAUAAAGUUAUGGCCCAGUCACCCAAUGUACCAUAUUUAGCUGAAUAGAAGAUGACUUUGAAUUUAAGACAACCGCUUUGAAUAAUAAAGGUGAAAUGCAGAUUGUGCCUCUAUUUAACUGAAAGCAGCAGGACUGGAUUUAAAAUGACACCCCCAUUUCAAACAUCAAAGAACUUUGCGGGGGGGACCUAGUCUGGGAAUCAGGGAAAUAUGGAUGAAAUGUUCUCCUAAUCCUAAUCCUGGGGGGCUUUCUCUGUGCCUGCUGUUUUAUCUCAAUCAAGCAAACCAGAAGAGAGGUGAAGUUGCUUGAAAUUUCCCUACACGUCUCC
Long non-coding RNA from Hemicordylus capensis (graceful crag lizard), 371 nucleotides. RefSeq lists it as uncharacterized. The record is from RefSeq and is a predicted model, not a curated record. Lineage: Eukaryota; Metazoa; Chordata; Lepidosauria; Squamata; Cordylidae. The transcript has 3 exons.